RNAcentral lists this long non-coding RNA (1368 nucleotides) under Setaria viridis. RNAcentral describes it as "long non-coding RNA (SVIR_LNC010673)". The record is from RNAcentral. Lineage: Eukaryota; Viridiplantae; Streptophyta; Magnoliopsida; Poales; Poaceae.
AUUGGAUAGUGAGGAGGAUUUUGGUGGAUGGGAGGAGUCUAGUGAGGAGGAAGAAGAAGACAUUCCCAAGGCUAACACUCCCGAGGACGAGGACGAUGAUGAUGAUGAUGAUGAUGAUGAUGAGGGAGAUGAUGAUGAGUGAAGAUCCAUGGAAGGGCCUCCCCUUUUUGGCGCUUGAUGCCAAAGGGGGAGUGAAGCUCACCAUGAAUGCUUGGGGAUGGAUGAUCAUCUUAGCUAUGUUUAGUUUCUCUUAUGGCUUGUGGACAUGUAAGCAAACUAUGUGUGGUAUUAUGUAUGGUGUGCCAAGUGUGAACUUUCAAUUUUAUAAGACUCAUUUGCUAUGUUAGUGUGGCUUAAGACUUCUUAUUCACUUGUGUUGAGAUGAUUAUGACUUGUAUGGUGUAUUGCUCUAUUUUCACUUUGUUGAAGUGCUCCAUCUUGUCAUACGCAUCACGUUGAUAUUCUUGUCACACCUUUGCACCAUACAAUUGCAAGGAUAUAAGGGGAGCCUACUUAAUUUGUGCAUUUGGCAUUUGAGGCCAUUUACCCUCUCAUGCACACAUUAAGGGGGAGCUCAUCUAUAUCGUUGCAUUCAAAGUUGUUUUUAUAUCUCUUGUGAGCCCUAGUUGUGUUGUCAUCAAUCACCAAAAAGGGGGAUAUUGUAAGUGCAUUUGGCCCCCUAUGUGGGUUUUGGUGUUGAUGACGCGCAUGAUUAGGGGACUAAUAUGAUUAUCAAGUGAUUGACAGGGUUUAAUUGCAAAAGAGUGCAAAGGUGUACUUAAAGAUUGUCAAGAAGCCCCCAAAUGCAAAAAUAGAAUUGUGUUGAGCUCAAAAGGAUUUUCAUUUAUGUUUUCUAAUUUUGAAUUUGAGUUUAGGAACGACGUACUAUUAAGGGGGAUGCGGAUGGAUAGAUUGAAGAUGCUAAAGUGCUCACUUGAGAUGCUGACCACCCAUUGAGAGACACAAAACACCCACUUGCACAACCUUUUUCUCAUAUUUUCUAAGUGUAUCGAAAGUUCCGACACUGUAUCGGAAGUUUCGAUACGUAUCGGAAGUUUCCAGAUAGUCCCAGCAGGGGUCCUCUGCACGUCUGAUUUGAGAGUGUCGGAAGUUUCGAUACACCAUCGGAACUUCUGAUAAAUAUGUGUCGGGUGUUUCUUGAAACUCCCAACAGGGGUCCUCUGCACACUAGUUCUAACUCCAUCAGAAGUUUCGACACUCUGUCGGAGGUUUCGAUAAGCACAUAACAAGACUGUAACAGCUAGUUUUGGGGGCUCAGGUAUAAAUACCCCCUCAGACCCCCCCCCCUCAAAGUUGUUGAACUAACUCAAGACAAAAACCCCCUAGAGCAAUGAAUACACCUCUCCC